RNAcentral lists this long non-coding RNA (687 nucleotides) under Gallus gallus (chicken). Its description in RNAcentral is "long non-coding RNA NONGGAT007910". Lineage: Eukaryota; Metazoa; Chordata; Aves; Galliformes; Phasianidae. The record is from RNAcentral.
GGAUUCUAUGAUUCUGCCACCAACAGCCUUUUGCCUCCCAUUCCCAGAACGUGCAGAAAACAGUAAAUUAGGGGUGUGGGUAGAUGCAGUGUGCUAAACACAAGAAAGUCCAAAGGAAGGUGGGAUUCAGCAGGUACCUGGGUGGGACCCUGGUGACUGGUUUGUAAAUAUGCUGAGUGCUCACAGCUGCAGCUGAAGUUGGAGGAAAAUGCACUUUCAAUAGGAAGUGCUCAAUCCAGCUACGCACCCCGAAGCGUCGGAUUCAUACCUGGGUAUCCAAAAUGAGUGUGUAACUGCAAAUGAAAUCUCCUCGUGCCUCGCUUCCCUGCCAGAAGACAAGAGUUAACAACGAUCUGUUAUCUCACUGUGGUGGCAAGAAAAUAGCCGGACUGAAUUUGUGAACUGCUCAGCCACUGCAGCGAGAUGCACUAAGAGAGAAAGCCUGCAGGAAAUUAAUAAUUCUGUCCUCUGAGAAAGCUUUGAAAUGUGUGGAGCAAAUCGAGCCUGGCUGACACACUGAGAGACAAGGAAAAACAAAGCACGGGACAACGGCUCAGCCUGCGGAGAGCAGUCUGUCCUGAGAGAGAAAUGCUGUGUGAUUGUAUGGGGAUGAACAAAUGAUGGCUGCCCCAAGGAGCCUGAGAUGGGAUCUUUCUUUUUCCCAGCCUUAAUAGGAAGGGCUCUAUU